RNAcentral lists this ribosomal RNA (909 nucleotides) under uncultured Bacillota bacterium. RNAcentral describes it as "bacterial SSU rRNA". It matches the Rfam family "Bacterial small subunit ribosomal RNA", at positions 11 to 917 of the family's 1533-position model. Lineage: Bacteria; Bacillati; Bacillota. The record is from RNAcentral.
CUUUGAUCAUGGCUCAGGACGAACGCUGGCAGCGCGCCUAACACAUGCAAGUCGAACGGGGUUAUACUGGAUGAAGUUUUCGGAUGGAAUUUGGUAUAACCUAGUGGCGGACGGGUGAGUAACACGUGAGCAACCUGCCUAUCAGAGGGGGAUAACGAUUGGAAACGAUCGCUAAUACCGCAUGACAUAGCGGAACCGCAUGGUUCUGUUAUCAAAGAUUUUAUCGCUGAUAGAUGGGCUCGCGUCCGAUUAGAUAGUUGGUGGGGUAACGGCCUACCAAGUCGACGAUCGGUAGCCGGACUGAGAGGUCGAACGGCCACAUUGGGACUGAGACACGGCCCAGACUCCUACGGGAGGCGGCAGUGGGGGAUAUUGCACAAUGGGGGAAACCCUGAUGCAGCGACGCCGCGUGAGGGAAGACGGUCCUCUGGAUUGUAAACCUCUGUCUUCGGGGACGAAAGUAGACGGUACCCGAGGAGGAAGCCACGGCUAACUACGUGCCAGCAGCCGCGGUAAUACGUAGGUGGCAAGCGUUGUCCGGAAUUACUGGGUGUAAAGGGAGCGUAGGCGGGCAGGCAAGUCAGGCGUGAAAUAUAUCGGCUCAACCGGUAACGGCGCUUGAAACUGCAGGUCUUGAGUGAAGUAGAGGUUGGCGGAAUUCCUAGUGUAGCGGUGAAAUGCGUAGAUAUUAGGAGGAACACCAGUGGCGAAGGCGGCCAACUGGGCUUUUACUGACGCUGAGGCUCGAAAGUGUGGGGGGCAAACAGGAUUAGAUACCCUGGUAGUCCACACCGUAAACGAUGAUUACUAGGUGUGGGGGGACUGACCCCUUCCGUGCCGGAGUUAACACAAUAAGUAAUCCACCUGGGGAGUACGGCCGCAAGGUUGCAACUCAAAGGAAUUGACGGA